AGUGAACGCUGGCGGUAGGCCUAACACAUGCAAGUCGAACGGCAGCACAGUAAGAGCUUGCUCUUGCGGGUGGCGAGUGGCGGACGGGUGAGGAAUACAUCGGAAUCUACUUUUUCGUGGGGGAUAACGUAGGGAAACUUACGCUAAUACCGCAUACGACCUACGGGUGAAAGCAGGGGAUCUUCGGACCUUGCGCGAUUGAAUGAGCCGAUGUCGGAUUAGCUAGUUGGCGGGGUAAAGGCCCACCAAGGCGACGAUCCGUAGCUGGUCUGAGAGGAUGAUCAGCCACACUGGAACUGAGACACGGUCCAGACUCCUACGGGAGGCAGCAGUGGGAAUAUUGGACAAUGGGCGCAAGCCUGAUCCAGCCAUACCGCGUGGGUGAAGAAGGCCUUCGGGUUGUAAAGCCCUUUUGUUGGGAAAGAAAAGCAGCAGGUUAAUACCCCGCUGUUCUGACGGUACCCAAAGAAUAAGCACCGGCUAACUUCGUG
This 491-nucleotide ribosomal RNA is filed under the name uncultured bacterium. Its description in RNAcentral is "partial 16S ribosomal RNA". It matches the Rfam family "Bacterial small subunit ribosomal RNA", at positions 29 to 507 of the family's 1533-position model. The record is from RNAcentral.